UACGUAGGUGGCAAGCGUUGUCCGGAAUUACUGGGUGUAAAGGGCGUGUAGGCGGGGAUGUAAGUCAGGUGUGAAAUUCCGGAGCUCAACUCCGGCGGUGCAUCUGAAACUAUAUUUCUUGAGUACUGGAGAGGAAAGCGGAAUUCCUAGUGUAGCGGUGAAAUGCGUAGAUAUUAGGAGGAACACCAGUGGCGAAGGCGGCUUUCUGGACAGUAACUGACGCUGAGGCGCGAAAGCGUGGGGAGCAAACAGGAUUAGAUACCCUGGUAGUCCACGCUGUAAACGAUGGAUACUAGGUGUAGGAGGUAUCGACCCCUUCUGUGCCGGAGUUAACACAAUAAGUAUCCCACCUGGGGAGUACGGCCGCAAGGUUG
RNAcentral lists this ribosomal RNA (374 nucleotides) under uncultured prokaryote. Its description in RNAcentral is "bacterial SSU rRNA". It matches the Rfam family "Bacterial small subunit ribosomal RNA", at positions 524 to 896 of the family's 1533-position model. The record is from RNAcentral.